UGAAUGUUUUUUGUCUUUCAGGAAAUUGAAAAUCAAAUAGACAGAAUAUGUGAGAUGGGAGAGGUGAUGAGAAAAGCUGUUCAAGUGGAUGAUGAUCAGUUCUUUAAAGUUCAGGAGAAACUGGCUCAGCUGGAGCUUGAAAACAAAGAGCUGCGUGAACUGUUGUCAAUCAGCAAAGAAUCUUUCGAGGUGGAGAGAGAAGAUCUGCCGGACUGUGAAGCGUAGGCCACAAAAAACCUCACCUCCAAACCUCCAGGGACUGUUAUGAAACUGCCUGACAAGGAUUUGUUCUUUCAGGUUGUUUCCUUGUAUAUCUGUUUUAUCUUUCAAGUGUGUGGGCUGUUUUUCUCUGCGCUUUCCUGAAGUGUUGAUGGCAGAGGCUUGUUGCUCUGUCUUAGGAUGCUUAACACUGAAGUAUUUGAUGUGUCCUCCCCUGUGAUCGUUCAUUUCCUCCCCCUUUGUCAUUUUUUUAUGAGCUUUAGGUAAUUUAAUUCCAGCUGUGCAGUUGGCUUUUAGAUCCACCUCAUCUGUAGCUCGAGAACAUAAUGCAGGUUGUGAUUAUUGUGCUUGAUAGAGGGAAUAAGAGAUUAUCCAAAACCCACGUUGUAAAUGGCAGGGGCCUGGUUUGCUCUGGCUGCACGGAGCAGUUUUGCUUUGCAGAGUGACCCCUCAGGGUUUGGAUGGGUUGACUUUGCUGCCUGGACUGGCUUUGUUACCUGGGUUGACUCUGUUACCUGGACACUUAGGAGCAGGUAAGAGAACAGCAGGUGCCAGCAGGGCACUUGAAGCAGUCACUCCUAUUCAGAGCAAACUUUACCUUGUUUUAGGGGUGACAAUCAGUGGAGAACCCUUCCUGACACAAACCUGGGCGGUUUUGAAGGACUCUGCAUAUUUGCCUGUUCUUUUUUUCAGUGGAUAGACCUGUCCCAGCCUUACCAGUGCUCCCAGGGGUGUGGGUGCUGGCCAGCCCUGGGCUGUUGGUGUGCUCAGACCCUGCCCAGAGCUCAGCACCUUCAGAUCAAAGCUCUUUGUCCUCCCACCACUUUGGACUCAGGAAGAGUGAGCUCAGGUCUGCCUCAAAAAUAACCAAAACCGACCACACACACACAGAUUUUUAAUGUCACUUCACAGGUGAGUGUAGUGACAGGUGUUCCAUAGUUACUGCACUGAGUGAAAUUAGAGUUGCAGCGUUGUAGGAAUUUAUCAACAUGGUGAUAUUUUUAUUGACACUUUUAUAUAAAGAUCUGUCUGACCUGUGAUCAAAGAAAAAUCCCCCAAGAACAAUAAACAUCUAAUUUCCAAUAUUAGUUUAAAUUUUUAUGCCACUUUUUCCCAAGCAAGACUUUCGACAGAUGCAGAAGGCAACUUGUUCCUGUGCUUGUUAAGAGACAUUUCCUUGUGAACAUCUGGAAUAUCCAGCAAGACUGGUAGAUAUAAGGGAUUUCUGUACAGGAGUGUUCUUGCAUACAAUCCUUUUCUAUUAGGAAUUGUUUAGGAGGGAAUAAAAAAACUCAGUGAGAAGUAA
Molecule: RNA transcript, 1525 nt
Organism: Manacus vitellinus (golden-collared manakin)
Lineage: Eukaryota; Metazoa; Chordata; Aves; Passeriformes; Pipridae
Exons: 2
Source: RefSeq, a predicted model, not a curated record